This is a long non-coding RNA of Poeciliopsis prolifica (blackstripe livebearer), 748 nucleotides long. RefSeq lists it as uncharacterized. The transcript is spliced from 3 exons. Lineage: Eukaryota; Metazoa; Chordata; Actinopteri; Cyprinodontiformes; Poeciliidae. The record is from RefSeq and is a predicted model, not a curated record.
CUCUGUCCAGUCAGUGUUUGUGAGUUGAUUAUGGCGAUUUUUCUUCCCUGCAUCACUUAAUUUACAUACUGUUUCGCCCCUUUUGCUCCCAGACAUACCUCUGUCACAUUUCAAGACUUGAAGUUUGUUUUUGUUGUUGUUUUUUGUCUUCUUUGUACGGGCAGUCGUUUGACAUUCCUGCAGUAUUUGGUUCCCAGAAAGCAAGAGUGACGGAAUUUGACAAGACACCAGGUGUUUCGUGCUCCCUGUUGUUAGCUGAAGCUUAUGGGAGGUUUUGUCUUCUGGAAACCAACUUUAUUCCCUCGCUGUCCACCAUGAACCUUUGUUCCUUGAUGCUCCAGCUGAGGCCAUCGGUGUGUGUUCACUUCCUCUGCAUCCUGCUGCUCCUCUCCAGCAUCUACCUCACAGCGCUACCUGCGUCUGAGUCAGGUAAUGAAACAACAAGCAAGAUUGCAACAACUAAAGGCUUCUCAAAGUCCAGUGCUGCAGUAGAUACUGAGGAAAAAAGCAAUAAAAGUAAUACAUUGACUAAAAUCCUCUUCAAUAAAACAUCCUUAGACCAAUCUCAGCAGUUGUCAUCCACCUCCUUACCCACAACUGUUGUAAGUGCUCAGUCUGUAAGUAAUAGUUCAGCUAAGAACCCCCUUCCAUCACCACCUGGAGAGCAUGUUGAGACUUCUCAAACUGUUUUACAAUCAACUAAAACAACUUCUGAAGCUCCAGCAACACCUCUGUCCACCAAAACACU